GACGAACGCUGGCGGCGUGCUUAACACAUGCAAGUCGAACGGAAAGGCCCUGCUUUUGUGGGGUGCUCGAGUGGCGAACGGGUGAGUAACAUGUGAGUAACCUGCCCUUGACUUUGGGAUAACUUCAGGAAACUGGGGCUAAUACCGGAUAGGAGCUCCUGCUGCAUGGUGGGGGUUGGAAAGUUUCGGCGGUUGGGGAUGGACUCGCGGCUUAUCAGCUUGUUGGUGGGGUAGUGGCUUACCAAGGCUUUGACGGGUAGCCGGCCUGAGAGGGUGACCGGCCACAAGGGGACUGAGAGACGGCCCAGAAUCCUACGGGAGGCAACAGGGGGGAAUAUUGCACAAUGGGCCGAAGCCUGAUGCAGCAACGCCGCGUGCGGGAAGACGGGCUUCGGGUGGUAAACAGCUUUCGCCGGUGACGAAGCGUGAGUGACGGUAAUGGAUAAAGAAGCACCGGCUAACUACGUG
RNAcentral lists this ribosomal RNA (468 nucleotides) under uncultured bacterium. Its description in RNAcentral is "partial 16S ribosomal RNA". It matches the Rfam family "Bacterial small subunit ribosomal RNA", at positions 28 to 507 of the family's 1533-position model. The record is from RNAcentral.